RNAcentral lists this transfer RNA (78 nucleotides) under Clostridium botulinum A str. Hall. RNAcentral's name for it is "tRNA-Met". It matches the Rfam family "tRNA". Rfam says of the family: Transfer RNA (tRNA) molecules are approximately 80 nucleotides in length. Lineage: Bacteria; Bacillati; Bacillota; Clostridia; Eubacteriales; Clostridiaceae. The record is from RNAcentral.
UCGCGGAGUGGAGCAGUUGGUAGCUCGUCGGGCUCAUAACCCGAAGGUCGUAGGUUCAAGUCCUGCCUCCGCAACCAA